This 253-nucleotide ribosomal RNA is filed under the name uncultured bacterium. Its description in RNAcentral is "partial 16S ribosomal RNA". It matches the Rfam family "Bacterial small subunit ribosomal RNA", at positions 524 to 776 of the family's 1533-position model. The record is from RNAcentral.
GACGAGGGAUCCUAGCGUUGUUCGGAAUCAUUGGGCGUAAAGCGGGUGUAGGCGGGCUUAUAAGUCAGGUGUGAAAUCCCAGGGCUCAACCCUGGAAGUGCACUUGAUACUGUAAGUCUUGAAUGUGGUAGAGGUUACUAGAAUUCCUGGUGUAGUGGUGAAAUACGUAGAUAUCAGGAGGAAUACCAGAGGCGAAGGCGGGUAACUGGGCCGUUACUGACGCUGAGGAGCGAAAGCGUGGGGAGCGAACAGG